GACAAAAACAGGACAGCACUGCACGCUGCACACGCCCGCCCCAGGCGCUGAUCUGCCGCUCGGGAGAAGUCGCUACUCAGAGCGCUCACUCAGGCUGCUUCUCAGGGCGCCGGACAACAGCAGCUCAGCGCCCACCGGCCUGAGGGCGAGCGACAAAAAAGACCUAGGCAUCCGCUGGUCCUUGAAGCACUGCAAGCCUUCUGUGCUCUACGGGCUGUGAAGGCUGUCCCCUUUUGGUUGAACCAGUGCCAAAUACAGAGGUCGUUGAAUGAAAAUGUUGAAUAACAUAUGGCCAAGAACCAAUCUGUGAAUAACUCCACUGGAAACAGACCUGCUUAAUGAUGAUUCUCCAUUUAGAAUGACAUUUUGAGACCUAUCAGCAUGUACUAUCUGCCAUGAUAAUUUUAUAUCAUUCUAGUUUUUUAAUCAAAAUGUCAUGUGGUACCAAGUGUAAGUAUAUUACAUCAGUACUAUUACCUUUACCAAACACACUUGUAAUCUCAAACUUGUAGCUCUCUGCCCACUGCUGGGGGCAUUGGUGCCCUGACACAGCCCUGCUUAUGUCGAGCUACCACCAAGUGCUAAAAACACACUGAAAGUAGCUGUCUUUGGUAAAAAUGUUCAACACAAUUACACUCCAACAUAUCUCAGAGUGAAACUCGAUCGCACUUUCACCUUCCAUGAUCACCUUGAGAAGGUAGCCUUAAAGAAAAACGAGAGCCGACAUAAUCCAGAAACUAGCAGGUACAACCUGGGGUGUGUCGGCAUUAGUGUUGCGAACAUCUGCAAUAGCACUUUAUACAUUCAGUAGCUGAAUAUUGUGCACCAGUAUGGAGCAGAUGCAGCCACAUGUGACUUGUUAACACCCAGCUGAAUACAGUAGUGUGGUGCAUCACGGGAACCCUUAAGUUGACUCCAAAACCAUGGCUAGCUACUCUGUCUAACAUUGCUCCCCCGCCGAUACAACGAACUGCUGCAACGUUCCGCGAAGCUCAGCAAAUCCAGGAAAACAGAUGUCGUCUUAUCCACCAAGACCUUAACAACGCCCCCGCCCCCACAACGUCUUAAGUACCACAAGCCUUUCUGGGAACAUUCGCUUAGCCUCAUGCAAUCAGGCUACGAUCAGAAGGAGGUUUGGAAAGCAGAUUGGGCUAAACGUCACUUAAAAAAUAAACACCUGGUGGUGGAUCUCAUGCAGAGGGUCAUCUUGGUCAACUCUGAACUGAAUCCAAACCAACCAUGGCAGAUGCAGACAUCUAAUGCACAUAUGGAAAAUCAAGGACUCCCCUACGUGUGAGUGUGGCUUCCCAUGACAGACCAUCGAACAUAUCACCACCUACUGCCUAAUUUAUAAAUAUGAAGGUGGCAUUACUGCAAUAAAUUCUGCUGCUCUGAUAUAGCCAUUUGGCUUGAUCAACUUCAGGUGAAAUUGUAGGUGCUGCUUCAUGGGCGACAUGUGAACUGCCGGCUGAGGGAGGUUAGCCCCCAGUCCUGCCCCUUCACCCCUCCCCCACCAACCCCUACCCCAGGCUAGCACCCUCAGCCCCAGAGCGCCAGGAGGGCGGGGGUGGUGUGGCCCCAGCGCCGGGAGGGAGGGAGAGUGGGUGGCCCAGCCCAAGCGCAGCCCCUAGCCCCCCUAGCUCCAGAGUGCCGGGAGGGCGGGCAGCACUGCCCCAGCCCCGGAGUGCUGGGUGAGUGGUGCAGCCCCAGUGUCAGCCUGAGUUCUAGCUGCCGCCAUGGUGACAGCACCGGGACAGGGGAACUGGCAGGAGGAGGUCUGGGGGCAGAGCAUGGACGGGGUCAUGCCUGGGUGUUUGGGGAGGCACAGCCUCCCCCAGCCUAUGAUACCCACCACCCAUGUGCUGCUUUACGCCAGCCAUAUGAAAGAAGAAGACAACCAGCAAGACUUAGGCCAUGUCUACACUACAAACUUUGGUCAAAGCAAGUUAUGUUGGCGUAAAGAUGCCAUGGUUAAUAUAUCGCUUAUGUCUGUGCAUACUUGACUCCUUGUGUUGGGUGCUGUGCGUACUCACAAGGAGUGCUUGUGUCGAUGCGCAAUGCAGUGCACUAUGGGUAGGUAUUCCAAUGUGCAGCUCACAAUUGUCUGGUGCACUGUCUUUUGGGAAAUUUUGGCAGUUCAUAGUGGGGCAGAAGUGAGUCACACAAGGGUGACUGGGAUCAAGGGGUCAAGUUCCCAGCAUGCAGCUUUCUCCAUCCCAUAGUGCCAUCCAUAUCCCUUUAUUUUUGUAUCUUUUUAAAAAAUCCCACAAACCUGUGUGUCACUUCUUGCUGCCUGCCAUCUCUGACAGAAGCAUGGAACUCACACAGCUCUGCACUAUUGUUAUGAGUGUUGCAAACACAGGAUGGAUGAUCUGGUAUUUGCAGAGCUGCAAGAAGAACCCUAGCAGUGGUGGACAUGAUGAUUUUAUGGAGGACAGAUUGCUGUGGGACAUAGUAAGACCUAAGGAUGUUCAUGGAACAGCUGCAGACAGUGGACUGCCACCUCAGGCCCUGAGAAACAAGCACUGACUAGUGCGAUCGCAUCACAACGCAGGUUCGGAACGAUGUGAAAGGCCACAUUCCUAUGUCUGUGUAGCAAACUCAACUCAGUCUUCCAGUGCAGGGACUCUAGAAUGAGAGCUUCACUGACAGUGGAGAAGCAAGUAAUGAUUGCAUUGUAGAAGCUUGCAAUGCCAGAUUACUACUAGUCAGUAGGAAAUCAUUAUGGAAUUGGAAAAUCCACAGUUGGGACCAUUGUCGUGCAAGUGUUCAGGGCCAUUAGCCAUCUGCUACACAGGACUGUGACACUCGGUAAUGUGCAGGACAUGGGGAUAGAUUUGCAGCAAUGGAGUUCCCAAACUACAGUGGAGCAAUAGAUGGCAUGCAUUUCCCUGUUUUGGAAUUGUGUGGCCCACAACCCAUCAAUAGGAAAGGCUACUUUUCGAUGGUGUUGAAAGCAUUGAUGGAUCAUCGGGGACACUUCACUGACAUCAGUGGUUGGCUGGUCAAGGAAGGUACAUAUGACGCUUGCAUUAUUAAGAACAUAGGACUGUUCAGAAAGCUGCAAGCAGGAACAUUCUUUCCUGACAGUUGAAUUAUCAUUGGUGAUGUUGAAAUGCCACUAGUGACCCUGGGGGACCCAGCCUACUCCUUGCUCUCCUGGCUUAUGAAGCUGAAUACUAGCCAGCUCAACAGUACCAAGGAAAGAUUUAACUACCAGCUCACCAGGUGCAGAAUGACAGCUGAAUGUGCUUUUGGUAGAUUGAAGAGAAGCUGGCAUUGGUGAUCACCAGAUUGGAUCUCUGUGAGAAAAAUGUCUCAAUGGUUAUAGCUGCCAGUUGUGCUCUGCAUAAUAUCUGUGAAGCAGAUGUUGCAGCGACAUGGAGAGCUGAGGUUUGAACAGCCAGACCAGACCAAAGGGGUAUUAGUAGAGCUCAACACAGAGCUGUGUGGUUGAAGGAGACCUUGAAAGAGCAUGUCACUGUCUGUAUUUAGUCACAGUGAUGUGGUGGGCUGUGCCCUAAAGUUUUGGGGGGUUGUUAGGAAUUGUGUGGUGCUUGCUGUCUGUUAAUACAGCUAUUGAUUGUGUGGUGCCUCCAGUACGUGUAUAAUAAUUACCCUGCAUUUGUCACUGAUCCUAUGAGCUCUGUCGCCCUGGACAAUAACAAGCAGUGGGCCCUUUCAGUAGUGCUUGGCAUUCUGAAGCAUAUGAUGUUAUAAAGAUUAAUUAUUUUCCCCUAAAAAAAGGAUUUUUAUUGCAUACCAAAACCAGGGCAAAAAACCCCUGUGUAAUUAAAAAACAAAAAUAAAGUAAUGGAACAGAACUUAGCAAGGGGAAAGAAUGUUCAUGUCCAUUUUGGCUACACCUACACCAGCUAUGGUUCUUGCAGGUCCAUGGGGCCAGGAUUUUCACCUUAGGACUCUAACCAGCUGUAUAUGGUCACUUGAAAGGAAUAACACUGGGAAAUGGCUUGUCAAUGCUGGGAGAAAUUCAAAGUGGGAAUCUCCUUUCUGACCUUCCCCACAAUUUGGUCACUUGGUGUGGCAUUUUCCUCUGCAUCCUCUUCCACCUCAUUUGCUCUCCAUCUAUUUUUAAGUCUAAUCUAAAAACAUCCUUUCUCCUCUUGCUUUCUCUCUCCCUACUUUUGUUCUUUGUUUUAUUUUUGCAACUAAGUUAUUUAUUUAACUUGGUAAAGCAUGCUGGGAUACAGCCCUCUUUGUUAAAGAUUCAACAUGCUGCCUCCUUUAGCUAAUGGCUGAGAAAGUUCCCAAUCUACUUCUCUGUAGGCCUGAUCUUGCACCAUCGAUCUCAUUGGAUUUUUACCAUUGACUUCAGCAGGAGCAGAAUCAAAACCCUAGGUUCUGCAAGGGAGAGCUCCAGCAAAAACAGAAAAGACAAUAUUUGACAUUUAUAUUGUAUCUAAAGUAAAAAUAUGCCAUUAAAGCAAGAAACAACCUUCUUUUAUACUGAUACAUUUUAAAUAAGUAAACAAGGACAAACCCAUUUCCCUCCCCUCUUUUGCAGGUGAUUUUUAAAGUAAGAGGGAAGAGUUAUAAUUUCACCAGGACUUUAUUCAAGUAAUCUGAUAAUAGCUCCUUAGAGAGUCCAGAAUCAAGCAAACAAAACCACCAAAGAAAUAUUUUAUGUAAAAAAUGAAAAGAAAUUGUUUGGCAUUUUUUAUGCUAGGAUAAACAAUCUCUUCUUUAAUAUCUUCCCUCUUUCAUGUUAUAUUAGAGGGUACUAGUCUACAGAACAGCAAACAGCAAGCCAGUAGUACAGAUAAUGAAAAUUUAAAUUAUAUGUUCCAUUAUUUUCCAUUAUGUUCAUUCUAAUUAUGCUGUUAUAAUGAGCUGACACAAAGUGGCAAAGGAACAAUCAGAAUUCUGCAAAUGACAAUAAAACUGUGAAGCAGCAGUUUCUUAGCAACAAACUGGAAACUGUGUUAAGUAGUAGUUUUAUUUUUAUCGAGACGUGU
Caretta caretta (loggerhead turtle) is the source of this 4976-nucleotide long non-coding RNA. RefSeq lists it as uncharacterized. NCBI's taxonomy places the organism in Eukaryota, Metazoa, Chordata, Testudines, Cheloniidae. The record is from RefSeq and is a predicted model, not a curated record.